Molecule: ribosomal RNA, 881 nt
Filed under: Mammaliicoccus sciuri
Lineage: Bacteria; Bacillati; Bacillota; Bacilli; Caryophanales; Staphylococcaceae
Description: bacterial SSU rRNA
Rfam family: Bacterial small subunit ribosomal RNA
Source: RNAcentral
GAGCCGGGCGGGGGAGUCUUACAUGCAGUACGAGCGAACAGAUGAGAAGCUUGCUUCUCUGAUGUUAGCGGCGGACGGGUGAGUAACACGUGGGUAACCUACCUAUAAGACUGGGAUAACUCCGGGAAACCGGGGCUAAUACCGGAUAAUAUUUUGAACCGCAUGGUUCAAUAGUGAAAGACGGUUUCGGCUGUCACUUAUAGAUGGACCCGCGCCGUAUUAGCUAGUUGGUAAGGUAACGGCUUACCAAGGCGACGAUACGUAGCCGACCUGAGAGGGUGAUCGGCCACACUGGAACUGAGACACGGUCCAGACUCCUACGGGAGGCAGCAGUAGGGAAUCUUCCGCAAUGGGCGAAAGCCUGACGGAGCAACGCCGCGUGAGUGAUGAAGGUCUUCGGAUCGUAAAACUCUGUUGUUAGGGAAGAACAAAUUUGUUAGUAACUGAACAAGUCUUGACGGUACCUAACCAGAAAGCCACGGCUAACUACGUGCCAGCAGCCGCGGUAAUACGUAGGUGGCAAGCGUUAUCCGGAAUUAUUGGGCGUAAAGCGCGCGUAGGCGGUUUCUUAAGUCUGAUGUGAAAGCCCACGGCUCAACCGUGGAGGGUCAUUGGAAACUGGGAAACUUGAGUGCAGAAGAGGAGAGUGGAAUUCCAUGUGUAGCGGUGAAAUGCGCAGAGAUAUGGAGGAACACCAGUGGCGAAGGCGGCUCUCUGGUCUGUAACUGACGCUGAUGUGCGAAAGCGUGGGGAUCAAACAGGAUUAGAUACCCUGGUAGUCCACGCCGUAAACGAUGAGUGCUAAGUGUUAGGGGGUUUCCGCCCCUUAGUGCUGCAGCUAACGCAUUAAGCACUCCGCCUGGGGGAGUACGACCGCAUGU